Podospora appendiculata is the source of this 143-nucleotide non-coding RNA. The record is from the annotation of a GenBank genome assembly. NCBI's taxonomy places the organism in Eukaryota, Fungi, Ascomycota, Sordariomycetes, Sordariales, Podosporaceae.
ACCUGAUCAUCGCAGUGGUCAGCGCGUUGGGGUGGCAGGCCGCCGAUUGCACUGUGUUAGACAUAGCAUCCAGGGCAGGAGACAGGAGGCUGAGGUACAUAAUUACCACACAAAGGUCCUCGGUUCGAUUCCGAGAUCGGGUA